Molecule: ribosomal RNA, 254 nt
Filed under: uncultured bacterium
Lineage: Bacteria
Description: partial 16S ribosomal RNA
Rfam family: Bacterial small subunit ribosomal RNA
Source: RNAcentral
UACAGAGGUCUCAAGCGUUGUUCGGAUUCAUUGGGCGUAAAGGGUGCGUAGGCGGCGCGGUAAGUCGGGUGUGAAAUCUCGGAGCUUAACUCCGAAACUGCAUUCGAUACUGCCGUGCUUGAGGACUGGAGAGGAGACUGGAAUUUACGGUGUAGCGGUGAAAUGCGUAGAUAUCAGGAGGAACACCUGUGGUGUAGACAGCUUACUGGACCACUUCUGACGCUGAGUGCGCGAAAGCCAGGGGAGCAAACGGG